UUCUCAGACUCUGUAUUAAUAUUACAAACAGAAUAUGCAGGAAAUAUGUACAGCGUUAAAAGCAAAAAAUUUCUGGAACAAAACUGUAUCUACAAACCAAAGUGUGAAGUACUGAGUGUGAGCUCCCUCUGCACUUAAUGUGUAUUUUAACCCUUUUGUUCAGACAAUGAGGUGUACUGAAUUAAUUCAACAUGUUACACAUUUUCUUAUUGCUGUAGGUCUUUUUAUUAUAGAAAUGGAGGUCAAAGUUAAUACUUUACCCUGUAGACACCAUUUAGUUCUGAUUGUUUUAUUUGUAUUUCAAAUAUUGCGCACACAUGUCCUGUAUUUUCCUCCUGUAUCUGAAGAAAAUACAGUACUGCAUAAAAUACAGCAUUAAAAAAAGCAUUCAUUCAUUAUUUAAAAGUCAUUAUUUAAAAGGACAGAUGCUUAAAUAUGUUUCAAUAUGUACUCCUAAUAUGGCAUCUGAUAAACUUGUUAAAGGGUUCAUCUUUCUUUUAAAUGAUAUUCCAUUAUACUGUACUAAAAGUACAUAAAACUUAUAAAAAAUUCAUAUUGCAGGUUUGAGACAUACUGUAAUAUGAGGCAUGAUUUUGUUAGAAAUACUAAUCUUUGCAUUUGAUUUUCACUGAAAAAUAAAAAAAAGAUAAUGUGAUUUUUGUAUUUGCACUAAAUAGGCAUGUUCCUUUAGAUCUGCAGAAUAUGGUUCUGUAGUACCACAAUGCUUUAUUUGCAAUAAUCAUAUGCUGAGACUUAUUUCACCUUCAUCAAAAAAUUACAUUCUAUGAUUUGACAAAUUGUUCAGCCCUAGUUUGAGUAACACGUGCCACUCUUAAUAUUGUAAUAUCAGAUCAGCAGAAUGUUCCCAUAUUUGUGAAGGCCAGUGAAUGCUCUGCAGGGCGACAUAUUAAAACACCCUCAUAAACUCCUUUUUUUUUUUUGUUUUUGGUGGAUCUUGUCACCAUUAACAUCUAUUUCCAGCAAGAAAAUCACCAACAAAAAAACAGUUUGCCGGCAUGAAUGUGUAAAAUCCCUUUAAUGCAGUUUGCCUUGUAGAAUUAGACUAUUGUACAGCUGCUUCUUUAAAAAACAAAACAAACAUAUAACAUCACUAAUGAGAACAUUAAUGUACA
Molecule: long non-coding RNA, 1133 nt
Organism: Sphaeramia orbicularis (orbiculate cardinalfish)
Lineage: Eukaryota; Metazoa; Chordata; Actinopteri; Kurtiformes; Apogonidae
Exons: 2
Source: RefSeq, a predicted model, not a curated record